This 1909-nucleotide long non-coding RNA is filed under the name Taeniopygia guttata (zebra finch). Its description in RNAcentral is "lncRNA (ENSTGUG00000024380.1)". The record is from RNAcentral. Lineage: Eukaryota; Metazoa; Chordata; Aves; Passeriformes; Estrildidae.
GCCCCGGUCCCAUCGCGCCCCGCGCCCCGCAAUGCCGCCCUAGGGGCUGGCGCCUCCCGCGGCACCGGCACCGGCACCGGCGGGGUGGGGGCGUUCCGGGGCCAUGUCGGGUCACGACGGCGGCAUGUCGAGUCGCGACAGCGUGCAGAUCCCCGACGACCGGGACUUCGGGGCGUUCCGGGCGCAGUGCGAGUCGGAGCGCGGCUGGAGCCUCACCUACAGCAAGGGCGGGGUGGGGGUCUGGGUGCAGCUGCUGGAGCCCGAGCGCGCCCUCCACAAGAUCAAGGGAGGUGUCCCAAGCCCCUGAAGAACCGGGACGUGGUCACACUCCGCUCCUGGCUGCCCAUGGGCUCUGACUACAUCAUCAUGAACUACUCUGUCAAGCAUCCUAAGUACCCCCCCCGCAAGGACAUGGUGCGGGCUGUCUCCAUUCAGACAGGCUACCUGAUCGAGGGGACAGGAGCCAAGAGCUGCACCAUCACCUACCUGGCACAGGUGGACCCCAAAGGUUCUUUACCGAAGUGGGUGGUGAACAAAUCCUCCCAGUUUCUGGCCCCCAAGGCCAUGAAGAAGAUGUACAAGGCAUGCCUCAAGUACCCUGAGUGGAAGCAGAAGCAUGACCCUCACUUCAAGCCCUGGCUGUUCCCGGAGCAGAGCCGACUCCCAGCCCUGGCACUCUCUGAGCUCUCCCUCCAGCAUGCGGAUUCCCUGGAAAACAUUGAUGAGAGCUCCCUGGCCGAGAGCAAGGAGGACCGUGGCGAGGGCAGUGAUGAGGACAGCCUGACCUGAUUCCCCUGGGAGCUCCUCUCCUUGUUCCCCUGGCUGGGACAGCCUGACAUGACACCCCCCUGGGGGCUCCUCUCCCUAUCCCCCCACUUCCAACAUGGUUUGUGUCUCUAUCUCACACACCUGUACACAUGCACCCCCACUUUGGGUUCAGGGGGACCCUCCCAUUGUUGUACCCCUGUCUGGGGACAGCAGGGGCAUAGUGGGUCCCCCAGGGUGAGAAGUUUGGGGUUGUCUGGUCACUCAGCCCUUGUGGGACACCAGUGUUUUCCCUAUAGGUGGCAAACCCAAAGUGACCUUCAGCUUUUGCAGGGGCAGAGGAAAAGGGGGGCCCUGUGCCUGCUCCUCAGCCCUGGAGACCCUUCCACUGAGCUCCCCCUCUGCCCCCCAUCCUUGCUCCCCAUCUCUGUUAUGGUCCAACAGAACUGCCUUCAUCCCAUGGGAUCCCCACCCCCAGCAGGGGGUGCUUGGGCACCUGCCUGCACCUCUGGGCAUGCAGAGGGGUUUUUGGGGGGCUUCUGGCACCUCCUGGCAUGCUGGGAAGGAGGGCCUUUGGGGAUUUUUGGCAUCUCCAAGCAUGUAGAGGGGAAGCUUCUAGGCUCCUGGCACCUCCAGCAUGUUGGAGGGGAUGUUGGGGUCUUACCUUCAGGCAUGUGGGAUGUGUUGAGGGGCUCAUGGCACCUCCAGAUUCGCUGUGGCGGAUGUUUUGGGGGCUCCUGGGAUCUCCAUGUUGUGGGGGGUCUUAUGGGCUCUCAGCAUCUUCAGGUUUGUUUGGGGGAGGCUUUAGGAUAAGCUCACACCUCCAGGUGUGCCCAGUGUCUCUGGGGGCUCCCAGCAUCUUCAGGCACGUUGAGAGGACUUGGGGGGACUCCUGGCACCUCCAGGUGUUCUGUGGGUCUCUGAAGGCUCCUGUCCCCUCCCCUGCCUUUCUAGGAUGGGGACCCUUUCCAAGCUGGGUGCCUGAACCCUUCCUCCGCUGGAAUUUGAGGCCUUGACUGGGGGUUUGGGAGCUGGUUUUUGGCCAUGCUCCUGCCCCCUUCUUUUCUGGGGGUGCACAGGGACAUGGGAGAUUUUGUACCUUGUACCAGAGCUGAUUAUUUAGGAAUAAAAUAAUUAAAUCUGG